RNAcentral lists this ribosomal RNA (468 nucleotides) under uncultured bacterium. Its description in RNAcentral is "partial 16S ribosomal RNA". It matches the Rfam family "Bacterial small subunit ribosomal RNA", at positions 28 to 507 of the family's 1533-position model. The record is from RNAcentral.
GACGAACGCUGGCGGCGUGCUUAACACAUGCCAGUCGAACGGAAAGGCCCUGCUUUUGUGGGGUGCUCGAGUGGCGAACGGGUGAGUAACACGUGAGUAACCUGCCCUUGAAUUUGGGAUAACUUCAGGAAACUGGGGCUAAUACAGGAUAGGAGCUCCUGCUGCAUGGUGGGGGUUGGAAAGUUUCGGCGGUUGGGGAUGGACUCGCGGGUUAUCAGCUUGUUGGUGGGGUAGUGGCUUACCAAGGCUUUGACGGGUAGCCCGCCUGAGAGGGUGGACGGCGACAUGGGGACUGAGAUACGGACCAGACUCCUACGGGAGGCAGCAGGGGGGAAUAUUGCAGAAUGGGCGGAAGCCAGAGGCAGCGACGCCGCGUGCGGGAUGACGGCCUUCGGGUUGUAAACCGCUUUCGCCUGUGACGAAGCGUGAGUGACGGUAAUGGGUAAAGAAGCACCGGCUAACUACGUG